Molecule: ribosomal RNA, 288 nt
Filed under: Lachnospiraceae bacterium
Lineage: Bacteria; Bacillati; Bacillota; Clostridia; Lachnospirales; Lachnospiraceae
Description: partial 23S ribosomal RNA
Rfam family: Bacterial large subunit ribosomal RNA
Source: RNAcentral
GUUCGGUCCCUAUCCGGCGCAAGCGUAGGAUAUCUGAGAGGAGCUGCCCUUAGUACGAGAGGACCGGGGUGGACGGACCGCUGGUGUAUCUGUUGGUUACCAAAACCAUGGCAGAGUAGCCAAGUCCGGCAGGGAUAAACGCUGAAGGCAUCUAAGCGUGAAGCCCCCCUCAAGAUGAGAUAUCCCAAUAAGUAAGACCCCUUAGAGAGUAUGAGGUAGAUAGGUUCGAGGUGGAAGUGCAGUAAUGUAUGUAGCUGACGAAUACUAAUCGGUCGAGGGCUUAUCCUG